GACGAACGCUGGCGGCGUGCUUAACACAUGCAAGUCGAACGGAAAGGCCCUGCUUUUGUGGGUUUCUCGAGUGCCGAACGGGUGAGUAACACGUGAGUAACCUGCCCUUGACUUUGGGAUAACUUCAGGAAACUGGGGAUAAUACCGGAUAGGAUCUCCUGCUGCACGGUGGUGGUUGGAAGGUUUCGGCGGUUGGGGAUGGACUCGCGGCUUAUCAGCUUGUUGGUGGGGUAGUGGCUUACCAAGGCUGUGACGGCUAGGCGGCCUGGGAGGGGGACCGGGGACCAUGGGACUACGAGAGGCACCAGUAGCGAACGUGAGGCAGUGGUGGGAAGUAUGGCGCAGUGAGCCGACGUCUGAGACAAAGACGCUGCGUGCGUGAUGCCGGCUUUCGGGUUAUAAACCGAUGUCGAAUGUGACGAAGCGUGAGUGACGGUAAUGGAUAAAGAAGCACCGGCUAACUACGUG
RNAcentral lists this ribosomal RNA (468 nucleotides) under uncultured bacterium. RNAcentral describes it as "partial 16S ribosomal RNA". It matches the Rfam family "Bacterial small subunit ribosomal RNA", at positions 28 to 507 of the family's 1533-position model. The record is from RNAcentral.